RNAcentral lists this ribosomal RNA (472 nucleotides) under uncultured bacterium. Its description in RNAcentral is "bacterial SSU rRNA". It matches the Rfam family "Bacterial small subunit ribosomal RNA", at positions 355 to 825 of the family's 1533-position model. The record is from RNAcentral.
UGGGGAAUUUUGGACAAUGGGCGCAAGCCUGAUCCAGCAAUGCCGCGUGCAGGAUGAAGGCCUUCGGGUUGUAAACUGCUUUUGUACGGAGCGAAACGGCUUCUUCUAAUACAGGGAGCUAAUGACGGUACCGUAAGAAUAAGCACCGGCUAACUACGUGCCAGCAGCCGCGGUAAUACGUAGGGUGCGAGCGUUAAUCGGAAUUACUGGGCGUAAAGCGUGCGCAGGCGGUUAUAUAAGACAGAUGUGAAAUCCCCGGGCUCAACCUGGGACCUGCAUUUGUGACUGUAUAGCUAGAGUACGGUAGAGGGGGAUGGAAUUCCGCGUGUAGCAGUGAAAUGCGUAGAUAUGCGGAGGAACACCGAUGGCGAAGGCAAUCCCCUGGACCUGUACUGACGCUCAUGCACGAAAGCGUGGGGAGCAAACAGGAUUAGAUACCCGGGUAGUCCCUGAGCGGGCUGGCAAGGCGCAU